UACAGAGACUGCAAGCGUUAUUCGGAUUCACUGGGCGUAAAGGGUGCGCAGGUGGCCAGGUGUGUUAGGCGUGAAAGCCCGGGGCUUAACCCCGGAAUUGCACCUAAAACUACUUGGCUAGAGCAUUGGAGAGGGGAGCAGAAUUCAUGGUGUAGCAGUGAAAUGCGUAGAUAUCAUGAGGAAUACCAGAGGCGAAGGCGGCUCCCUGGACAAUUGCUGACACUCAGGCACGAAAGCGUGGGGAGCAAACAGG
This 253-nucleotide ribosomal RNA is filed under the name uncultured bacterium. RNAcentral's name for it is "partial 16S ribosomal RNA". It matches the Rfam family "Bacterial small subunit ribosomal RNA", at positions 524 to 776 of the family's 1533-position model. The record is from RNAcentral.